Molecule: ribosomal RNA, 445 nt
Filed under: uncultured bacterium
Lineage: Bacteria
Description: partial 16S ribosomal RNA
Rfam family: Bacterial small subunit ribosomal RNA
Source: RNAcentral
GUGAGGAAUAUUGGACAAUGGGCGCAAGCCUGAUCCAGCCAUGCCGCGUGCAGGAAGACGCAUCUAUGGUGUGUAAACUGCUUUUGUACAGGAAGAAACACUCCCUCGUGAGGGAGCUUGACGGUACCGUAAGAAUAAGGAUCGGCUAACUCCGUGCCAGCAGCCGCGGUAAUACGGAGGAUCCAAGCGUUAUCCGGAAUCAUUGGGUUUAAAGGGUCCGUAGGCGGUUUAAUAAGUCAGUGGUGAAAGCCCAUCGCUCAACGAUGGAACGGCCAUUGAUACUGUUAGACUUGAAUUACAAGGAAGUAACUUGAAUAUGUAGUGUAGCGGUGAAAUGCUUAGAUAUUACAUGGAAUACCAAUUGCGAAGGCAGGUUACUACUUGUGGAUUGACGCUGAUGGACGAAAGCGUGGGGAGCGAACAGGAUUAGAUACCCGGGUAGUCC